GACGAACGCUGGCGGCGUGCUUAACACAUGCAAGUCGAACGGAGAACCCCUUCGGUGGGGAUCUGUUGCGAACGGGAGCGUAACACGAAGGCGACCUGAACCUGCCCUUGGGUUUACUCCAAGAUCUUGAAGCUAAUACUGGUAGCUCAUAGCUUCUCGUGCGGCAGGUGGUGGGAUGGAAUUCCUCGGCGGUUGGGGAUGGACUCGCGGCUUAUCAGCUUGUUGGUGGGGUAGUGGCUUACCAAGGCCUCGACGGGUAGCCGGCCUGAGAGGGUGACCGGCCACACUGGGACUGAGACACGGCCCAGACUCCUACGGGAGGCAGCAGUGGGGAAUAUUGCGCAAUGGGCGGAAGCCUGACGCAGCAACGCCGCGUGGGGGAUGACGGCCUUCGGGUUGUAAACCGCUUUCAGCAGUGACGAAGCGUGAGUGACGGUAACUGGAGAAGAAGCACCGGCCAACUACGUG
Molecule: ribosomal RNA, 468 nt
Filed under: uncultured bacterium
Lineage: Bacteria
Description: partial 16S ribosomal RNA
Rfam family: Bacterial small subunit ribosomal RNA
Source: RNAcentral